UUUCAAGAAAAGGCCCUCAGCUCCUGAACAUGUAACUUUUCUGAAUUCAAUGACAGUGACUCCUUUUGAUAAAGGGAAUUUCCGUUCGUUUGUUUUAAAAAAAAAUUUUUUAACGGUCUCUAUUUUUAACACUCUCAGCUGAAGCCCCAAGGUUGGCUUCAUGAGGCCCAGGGUCCAGGACAUCUCCUUUCCCAUGAAACUGUUCUGCUGAAGCACCUGGGGGGUGGGGGGGCUUUGUAUUCAUUCAUUCAUCCCACAUUCACUCACUCAUUCAUCCCACAUUCACUCACUCAUUCAUUCAUCCCACAUUCACUCAUUCAUUCAUCCCAAAUCACACAUUCAUUCAUUCAUCCCACAUUCACUCACUCAUUCAUCCCACAUUCACCCACUCAUUCAUUCAUCUCACAUUCAGUCAUUCCUUCAACACACAUUCCCUCAUUCAUCACACAGUCACUCGUUCAUUCAGCCCACAUUCACUCACUCAUUAAUUCAUCCCACAUUCACUCACUCAUUCAUUCGUCCCACAUUCACUCACCCAUUCAUUUCAGUCACUCACUCAUUCAUUCAUCCCACAUUCACUCAACCAUUCAGCUCAGUCACUCACUCAUUCAUUCAUCCCACAUUCACUCACUCAUUCAUCCAAAAUUCACUCAUUCAUUCAUUCAUCCCACAUUCACGCACCCAUUCAUCCCACAUUCACUCACUCAUUCUUUCGGCCCACAUUCACUCACUCAUUCAUCCCACAUUCACUCAGCCCACAUUCACUUACUCACACAUUCAUCACACAUUCACUCACUCAUUCGUCCCACAUUCACUCAGCCCACAUUCUCUCACUCACACAUUCAUCACACAUUCACUAGCUCAUUCAUUCAUCCCAUAUUCACUCACUUUUCACUCAUCCCACAUUCAUUCACAGGCAUCCAUCCAUCCAUUCCACAUUCAUGUGUCCCUGACAGAUGUCAGGUGUCAGGUGGUGGGACCUGUUCCAGGAAUUGGAGACAGAGGGCAAGCCAUGCAGAAGGCAGGUAAACCAGACAGUGUUGGAGUGACCUGGGCUCUGGGAGAGAAUCAAACAGGGGACUUAUCAAACUGUGAGUGUUAGGGAGGCUUCUGAGGAGGUGACAUUUGUCAAACCUAUGACCUUGUGUCCUGUAUCCUUC
Molecule: long non-coding RNA, 1160 nt
Filed under: Homo sapiens (human)
Lineage: Eukaryota; Metazoa; Chordata; Mammalia; Primates; Hominidae
Description: HSALNT0274420
Source: RNAcentral